GAUGAACGCUGGCGGCGUGCCUAAUACAUGCAAGUCGAGCGAACAGACGAGGAGCUUGCUCCUCUGACGUUAGCGGCGGACGGGUGAGUAACACGUGGAUAACCUACUUAUAAGACUGGGAUAACUUCGGGAAACCGGAGCUAAUACCGGAUAAUAUAUUGAACCGCAUGGUUCAAUAGUGAAAGACGGUUUUGCUGUCACUUAUAGAUGGAUCCGCGUCGCAUUAGCUAGUUGGUAAGGUAACGGCCUACCAAGGCAACGAUGCGUAGCCGACCUGAGAGGGUGAUCCGCCACACUGGAACUGAGACACGGUCCAGACUCCUACGGGAGGCAGCAGUGGGGAAUCUUCGGCAAAGGGCGAAAGCCUGACGGAGCAACGCCGCGUGAGUGAUGAAGGUCUUCGGGUCGUAAAACUCUUUUAUUAGGGAAGAAAAAAUGUGUGAGUAACUAUGCACGUCUUGACGGUACCUAAACAAAAAGCCACGGCUAACUACGUG
Molecule: ribosomal RNA, 497 nt
Filed under: uncultured bacterium
Lineage: Bacteria
Description: partial 16S ribosomal RNA
Rfam family: Bacterial small subunit ribosomal RNA
Source: RNAcentral